AGAGUUUGAUCCUGGCUCAGGACGAACGCUGGCGGCGUGCCUAAUACAUGCAAGUCGAGCGAGCUUGCCUAGAUGAUUUUAGUGCUUGCACUAAAUGAAACUAGAUACAAGCGAGCGGCGGACGGGUGAGUAACACGUGGGUAACCUGCCCCAAGAGACUGGGAUAACACCUGGAAACAGAUGCUAAUACCGGAUAACAACACUAGACGCAUGUCUAGAGUUUGAAAGAUGGUUCUGCUAUCACUCUUGGAUGGACCUGCGGUGCAUUAGCUAGUUGGUAAGGUAACGGCUUACCAAGGCAAUGAUGCAUAGCCGAGUUGAGAGACUGAUCGGCCACAUUGGGACUGAGACACGGCCCAAACUCCUACGGGAGGCAGCAGUAGGGAAUCUUCCACAAUGGACGAAAGUCUGAUGGAGCAACGCCGCGUGAGUGAAGAAGGGUUUCGGCUCGUAAAGCUCUGUUGGUAGUGAAGAAAGAUAGAGGUAGUAACUGGCCUUUAUUUGACGGUAAUUACUUAGAAAGUCACGGCUAACUACGUGCCAGCAGCCGCGGUAAUACGUAGGUGGCAAGCGUUGUCCGGAUUUAUUGGGCGUAAAGCGAGUGCAGGCGGUUCAAUAAGUCUGAUGUGAAAGCCUUCGGCUCAACCGGAGAAUUGCAUCAGAAACUGUUGAACUUGAGUGCAGAAGAGGAGAGUGGAACUCCAUGUGUAGCGGUGGAAUGCGUAGAUAUAUGGAAGAACACCAGUGGCGAAGGCGGCUCUCUGGUCUGCAACUGACGCUGAGGCUCGAAAGCAUGGGUAGCGAACAGGAUUAGAUACCCUGGUAGUCCAUGCCGUAAACGAUGAG
RNAcentral lists this ribosomal RNA (846 nucleotides) under uncultured bacterium. RNAcentral describes it as "bacterial SSU rRNA". It matches the Rfam family "Bacterial small subunit ribosomal RNA", at positions 8 to 813 of the family's 1533-position model. The record is from RNAcentral.